RNAcentral lists this ribosomal RNA (497 nucleotides) under uncultured bacterium. RNAcentral's name for it is "partial 16S ribosomal RNA". It matches the Rfam family "Bacterial small subunit ribosomal RNA", at positions 28 to 507 of the family's 1533-position model. The record is from RNAcentral.
GAUGAACGCUGGCGGCGUGCCUAAUACAUGCAAGUCGAGCGAACGGACGAGAAGCUUGCUUUUCUGAUGUUAGCGGCGGACGGGUGAGUAACACGUGGAUAACCUACCUAUAAGACUGGGAUAACUUCGGGAAACCGGAGCUAAUACCGGAUAAUAUUUUGAACCGCAUGGUUCAAUAGUGAAAGACGGUUUUGCUGUCACUUAUAGAUGGAUCCGCGCUGCAUUAGCUAGUUGGUAAGGUAACGGCUUACCAAGGCAACGAUGCAUAGCCGACCUGAGAGGGUGAUCGGCCACACUGGAACUGAGACACGGUCCAGACUCCUACGGGAGGCAGCAGUAGGGAAUCUUCCGCAAUGGGCGAAAGCAUGACGGAGCAACGCCGCGUGAGUGAUGAAGGUCUUCGGAUCGUAAAACUCUGUUAUUAGGGAAGAACAAAUGUGUAAGUAACUGUGCACAUCUUGACGGUACCUAAUCAGAAAGCCACGGCUAACUACGUG